UGGGGGAUAUUGCACAAUGGAGGAAACUCUGAUGCAGCAACGCCGCGUGAAGGAUGAAGGUCUUCGGAUUGUAAAGCUUUUGUACUUGGGGACGAUAAUGACGGUACCCAAGCAGCAAGCUCCGGCUAACUACGUGCCAGCAGCCGCGGUAAUACGUAGGGAGCAAGCGUUGUCCGGAUUUACUGGGUGUAAAGGGUGCGUAGGCGGCUAUGCAAGUCAGUUGUGAAAACUAUGGGCUCAACCCAUAGCCUGCAAUUGAAACUGCGUGGCUUGAGUGAAGUAGAGGUAGGUGGAAUUCCCGGUGUAGCGGUGAAAUGCGUAGAGAUCGGGAGGAACACCAGUGGCGAAGGCGACCUACUGGGCUUUAACUGACGCUG
This 377-nucleotide ribosomal RNA is filed under the name uncultured bacterium. RNAcentral's name for it is "partial 16S ribosomal RNA". It matches the Rfam family "Bacterial small subunit ribosomal RNA", at positions 355 to 748 of the family's 1533-position model. The record is from RNAcentral.